CAAACAGGAUUAUAUACCCUGGUAGUCCGGAUUUUACCCCUACCCAACUAGUUGUUGCUAUGCUAGACAUAGCAGUAAUGCAGUUAACACAGUAAGUGUGCCGCCUGGGGAGUACGGUCGCAAGAUUAAAACUCAAAGGAAUAGACGGGGACCCGCACAAGCGGUGGAGCAUGUGGUUUAAUUCGACGAUACGCGAAGAACCUUACCUGGCCUUGACAUAGGAAGAACUUACUAGAGAUAGUUUGGUGCUAGUUUACUAGAACUUCCAUACAGGUGCUGCACGGCUGUCGUCAGCUCGUGUCGUGAGAUGUUGGGUUAAGUCCCGCAACGAGCGCAACCCUCGAAUUUACUUACUAACAGUUAGGCUGAGGACUCUAAAUUGACUGCCUGGGCAACCAGGAGGAAGGUGAGGACGACGUCAAGUCAUCAUGGCCCUUACGGCCAGGGCUACACACGUGCUACAAUGGGGUAUACAAAGAGCCGCGAUACCGUGAGGUGGAACAAAUCUCAUAAAAUAUCUCCCAUUUCGGAUUGAAGUCUGCAACUCGACUUCGUGAAGUUGGAAUCUCUAGUAAUCGUAGAUCAACAAUGCUACCGUGAAUACUUUCCCGGGUCUUGUACUCUCCGCCCGUCACACCAUGGUAAUUGAAUUCAUUCCAAGCGGGGAUGCUAAAAUAGCUACCUUCCACAGUGGAUUUAGUAACUAGGGUGAACUCGUAACAAGGUA
Molecule: ribosomal RNA, 727 nt
Filed under: uncultured Campylobacterota bacterium
Lineage: Bacteria; Pseudomonadati; Campylobacterota
Description: bacterial SSU rRNA
Rfam family: Bacterial small subunit ribosomal RNA
Source: RNAcentral